RNAcentral lists this ribosomal RNA (224 nucleotides) under uncultured Spirochaetota bacterium. Its description in RNAcentral is "uncultured Spirochaetes bacterium partial 16S ribosomal RNA". It matches the Rfam family "Bacterial small subunit ribosomal RNA", at positions 1160 to 1382 of the family's 1533-position model. The record is from RNAcentral. Lineage: Bacteria; Pseudomonadati; Spirochaetota.
AACGCAGAGGAAGGUGGGGACGACGUCAAGUCAUCAUGGUCCUUAUGACCAGGGCUACACACGUGCUACAAUGGUAGUUACAGAGGGAAGCGAUACGGCAACGUGGAGCAAAUCUCAGAAAAGCUACCUUAGUUCGGAUUGAGGUCUGCAACUCGACCUCAUGAAGUUGGAAUCGCUAGUAAUCGCGCAAACAGCAUGGCGCGGUGAAUACGUUCCCGGGCCUU